UACGUAGGGUGCGAGCGUUAAUCGGAAUUACUGGGCGUAAAGUGUGCGCAGGUGGCCGCGCAAGUCGAGUGUGAAAUCCCCGAGCUUAACUUGGGAAUUGCGCUCGAAACUACGUGGCUCGAGUGUGGCAGAGGAAGGUGGAAUUCCACGUGUAGCGGUGAAAUGCGUAGAGAUGUGGAGGAACACCAAUGGCGAAGGCAGCCUCCUGGGCCAACACUGACACUCAUGCACGAAAGCGUGGGGAGCAAACAGG
RNAcentral lists this ribosomal RNA (253 nucleotides) under uncultured bacterium. RNAcentral's name for it is "partial 16S ribosomal RNA". It matches the Rfam family "Bacterial small subunit ribosomal RNA", at positions 524 to 776 of the family's 1533-position model. The record is from RNAcentral.